This is a long non-coding RNA of Solea senegalensis (Senegalese sole), 78 nucleotides long. RefSeq lists it as uncharacterized. The transcript is spliced from 4 exons. The record is from RefSeq and is a predicted model, not a curated record. Lineage: Eukaryota; Metazoa; Chordata; Actinopteri; Pleuronectiformes; Soleidae.
GCUCUCUUCUCGUCUCUCCACUGGCUCCACGUCUGUGUCUUCACUUGUGCCUGUCUCAUUAGUUUUGUGAUAAUUGGU